UGGCUCAUGGCUUAGUGGGUAGAGUAUGAGACUCUUAAUCUAAGGUCAUGAGUUUGAGCCCCACGUUGGGCAAA
Molecule: non-coding RNA, 74 nt
Organism: Podarcis lilfordi (Lilford's wall lizard)
Lineage: Eukaryota; Metazoa; Chordata; Lepidosauria; Squamata; Lacertidae
Source: the annotation of a GenBank genome assembly